Molecule: long non-coding RNA, 1208 nt
Organism: Danio aesculapii
Lineage: Eukaryota; Metazoa; Chordata; Actinopteri; Cypriniformes; Danionidae
Exons: 7
Source: RefSeq, a predicted model, not a curated record
UUAUCAUGAUGGUAAUAUAAAAUAAGCAAUUGUGAGAAUGUGGUUGAAAAUUCUGUAUUUCGGGAUUUAUGCUGUGGAAUUUCUACACGCGCAUGCGCAGUGACGUUGUUUUUCAACCGUCGCUCUCCCAGACCUCUGUCGGAUAAUGCACCUCUCUGCCUCAGAUGAUGGAAGUCGAGGAACAAAUUACAGUCCCUCUAACAGUUUUACACCGAGUUCUUGCAACUGUCUUCAUAGACGGAAAGGAAAUAUGGAGAAAACUAUCCUCAGUCAAACCUGAACUGUCUCGACUAUCUCUUGAUUGAAUAUUGAAAUUUGACACAGAUUUUCAAGAGUUCAUUGACACUGAUGUAAAUGCAGGAGUACAGGAGCUUGACAAAUUUCAAAUAAAUUAUAUUGCAAGCAACACCCCCGACUCAUUAGAAAGUGUGCACUCAUUACAGUGUCCUUUAACAGAUUCAACUCAGACUGGCACCACAACUAGUUUGCUGACGCUGCUUGAAGAAAAAGCCUCUACAAUCCUGAGAGAACAUGAAGAGACAAAGACGCUGUCCAUUUUCUCAUGAAAGAUUCUUGUUAUAGUUGCUGUCAGUGACCUUGUAGAGAAACAUGCAUUCUAUCCAAUUUGGUACAGAAAAACUGGCACUACCAAAAGAGAUUGUGUCAUUGUUCCCCUCGUUAAGGAUUCAGGUGCCCUUUGGUGAAAACGAGGGACAUGAGCAUUUUUUGCUGGGCCAUCACACAGUGGAUUUAUUGAAAUGAGAUUACGUAACAUCAGAUGAAAGCUUCAACAGAGCCAGCGGGUGUACAGUUUGAAACAUCGUCAUUGUACACCGCAACCUUCUUUACCAAGUCCAGAUGAAACUGUACCAAAUGGACAUUGAAUCCGGAAAUGGGACGGGACGAUAAUUCCAAAACUCAAGAAAAUAGCAUCCUUGGAGAGGAAAAAUGACAUCAGACACUUACUGGAGAAGGCUGACAAUCAGCAUGAUGAUGAGCUGUGUUACACUAUGUUGAAGAUCCUUAUUCAUCUUCUUCCACCCACUGCAUCUGUGAGAAGUGUAGCUGGGAGUAAAUGCUGUGUGACUUCUGCUGUGUCCUACCUGUUGGUACAAGUUCCGGUAUAUUUUUUUAUUGUGUUAGCUUGUGAUAAAUAAAAUUGUUUCUAAUGCAGCAACAUUUUCUAAUGCUUUUCAUUGUUUCAUUCC